This 328-nucleotide ribosomal RNA is filed under the name uncultured eukaryote. Its description in RNAcentral is "partial 18S ribosomal RNA". It matches the Rfam family "Eukaryotic small subunit ribosomal RNA", at positions 1470 to 1796 of the family's 1831-position model. The record is from RNAcentral.
CCCUUAGAUGUCCUGGGCCGCACGCGCGUUACACUGAUGCAUUCAACGAGCUUAUAACCUUGGCCGAGAGGCCCGGGCAAUCUUGUUAACGUGCAUCGUGAUAGGGAUAGAUUAUUGAAAUUAUUAAUCUUGAACGAGGAAUUCCUAGUAAACGCAGAUCAUCAAUCUGCAUUGAUUACGUCCCUGCCCCUUGUACACACCGCCCGUCGCACCUACCGAUUGGAUGGUCCGGUGAAGCCUCGGGAUUGUGGUUCUUGCCGCUUUAUUGUGGCGUGACCGCGAGAACUUGUCUAAACCUUAUCAUCUAGAGGAAGGUGAAGUCGUAACA